GACGAACGCUGGCGGCGUGCCUAAUACAUGCAAGUCGAACGAACUCUGGUAUUGAUUGGUGCUUGCAUCAUGAUUUACAUUUGAGUGAGUGGCGAACUGGUGAGUAACACGUGGGAAACCUGCCCAGAAGCGGGGGAUAACACCUGGAAACAGAUGCUAAUACCGCAUAACAACUUGGACCGCAUGGUCCGAGUUUGAAAGAUGGCUUCGGCUAUCACUUUUGGAUGGUCCCGCGGCGUAUUAGCUAGAUGGUGGGGUAACGGCUCACCAUGGCAAUGAUACGUAGCCGACCUGAGAGGGUAAUCGGCCACAUUGGGACUGAGACACGGCCCAAACUCCUACGGGAGGCAGCAGUAGGGAAUCUUCCACAAUGGACGAAAGUCUGAUGGAGCAACGCCGCGUGAGUGAAGAAGGGUUUCGGCUCGUAAAACUCUGUUGUUAAAGAAGAACAUAUCUGAGAGUAACUGUUCAGGUAUUGACGGUAUUUAACCAGAAAGCCACGGCUAACUACGUGCCAGCAGCCGCGGUAAUACGUAGGUGGCAAGCGUUGUCCGGAUUUAUUGGGCGUAAAGCGAGCGCAGGCGGUUUUUUAAGUCCGAUGUGAAAGCCUUCGGCUCAACCGAAGAAGUGCAUCGGAAACUGGGAAACUUGAGUGCAGAAGAGGACAGUGGAACUCCCAUGUGUAGCGGUGAAAUGCGUAGAUAUAUGGAAGAACACCAGUGGCGAAGGCGGCUGUCUGGUCUGUAACUGACGCUGAGGCUCGAAAGUAUGGGUAGCAAACAGGAUUAGAUACCCUGGUAGUCCAUACCGUAAACGAUGAAUGCUAAGUGUUGGAGGGUUUCCGCCCUUCAGUGCUGCAGCUAACGCAUUAAGCAUUCCGCCUGGGGAGUACGGCCGCAAGGCUGAAACUCAAAGGAAUUGACGGGGGCCCGCACAAGCGGUGGAGCAUGUGGUUUAAUUCGAAGCUACGCGAAGAACCUUACCAGGUCUUGACAUACUAUGCAAAUCUAAGAGAUUAGACGUUCCCUUCGGGGACAUGGAUACAGGUGGUGCAUGGUUGUCGUCAGCUCGUGUCGUGAGAUGUUGGGUUAAGUCCCGCAACGAGCGCAACCCUUAUUAUCAGUUGCCAGCAUUAAGUUGGGCACUCUGGUGAGACUGCCGGUGACAAACCGGAGGAAGGUGGGGAUGACGUCAAAUCAUCAUGCCCCUUAUGACCUGGGCUACACACGUGCUACAAUGGAUGGUACAACGAGUUGCGAACUCGCGAGAGUAAGCUAAUCUCUUAAAGCCAUUCUCAGUUCGGAUUGUAGGCUGCAACUCGCCUACAUGAAGUCGGAAUCGCUAGUAAUCGCGGAUCAGCAUGCCGCGGUGAAUACGUUCCCGGGCCUUGUACACACCGCCCGUCACACCAUGAGAGUUUGUAACACCCAAAGUCGGUGGGGUAACCUUUUAGGAACCAGCCGCCUAAGGUGGGACAGAUGAUUAGGGUG
RNAcentral lists this ribosomal RNA (1490 nucleotides) under Lactiplantibacillus pentosus. RNAcentral's name for it is "bacterial SSU rRNA". It matches the Rfam family "Bacterial small subunit ribosomal RNA". Lineage: Bacteria; Bacillati; Bacillota; Bacilli; Lactobacillales; Lactobacillaceae. The record is from RNAcentral.